This is a non-coding RNA of Schistosoma margrebowiei, 45 nucleotides long. Lineage: Eukaryota; Metazoa; Platyhelminthes; Trematoda; Strigeidida; Schistosomatidae. The record is from Rfam.
AUCCAGAUGACGAAUCCCAAAUAGGACGAAACGUGCGUCCCUGAU